AUUGAACGCUGGCGGCAGGCCUAACACAUGCCAGUCGAACGGUAACAGGAAGAAGCUUGCUUCUUUGCUGACGAGUGGCGGACGGGUGAGUAAUGUCUGGGAAACUGCCUGAUGGAGGGGGAUAACUACUGGAAACGGUAGCUAAUACCGCAUAACGUCGCAAGACCAAAGAGGGGGACCUUCGGGCCUCUUGCCAUCGGAUGUGCCCAGAUGGGAUUAGCUAGUAGGUGGGGUAACGGCUCACCUAGGCGACGAUCCCUAGCUGGUCUGAGAGGAUGACCAGCCACACUGGAACUGAGACACGGUCCAGACUCCUACGGGAGGUAGCAGUGGGGAAUAUUGCACAAUGGGCGCAAGCCUGAUGCAGCCAUGCCGCGUGUAUGAAGAAGGCCUUCGGGUUGUAAAGUACUUUCAGCGGGGAGGAAGGGAGUAAAGUUAAUACCUUUGCUCAUUGACGUUACCCGCAGAAGAAGCACCGGCUAACUCCGUG
RNAcentral lists this ribosomal RNA (490 nucleotides) under uncultured bacterium. Its description in RNAcentral is "partial 16S ribosomal RNA". It matches the Rfam family "Bacterial small subunit ribosomal RNA", at positions 30 to 507 of the family's 1533-position model. The record is from RNAcentral.